RNAcentral lists this ribosomal RNA (494 nucleotides) under uncultured bacterium. RNAcentral's name for it is "partial 16S ribosomal RNA". It matches the Rfam family "Bacterial small subunit ribosomal RNA", at positions 28 to 523 of the family's 1533-position model. The record is from RNAcentral.
GAUGAACGCUAGCGGCAGGCCUAACACAUGCAAGUCGAGGGGUAUAAGUCUUCGGACUUUGAGACCGGCGCACGGGUGCGUAACGCGUAUGCAAUCUACCUUGUACAGAGGGAUAGCCCAGAGAAAUUUGGAUUAAUACCUCAUAGCAUAUUUGAAUGGCAUCAUUUAAAUAUUAAAGUUCCAACGGUACAAGAUGAGCAUGCGUCCCAUUGGUUAGUUGGUGUGGUAACGGCACACCAAGACGAUGAUGGGUAGGGGUUCUGAGAGGCGGAUUCCCAACAAGAGUACUUGGACACGGACCAGACUCCGACGUGAGGCAGCAGUGAGGAAUAUUAGUCAAUGGAGGCAACUCUGAACCAGCCAUGCCGCGUGCAGGAUGACGGUCCUAUGGAUUGUAAACUGCUUUUAUACGGGAAGAAAAAGAGUUACGUGUAACUUAUUGACGGUACCGUAAGAAUAAGGAUCGGCUAACUCCGUGCCAGCCGCCGCGGUAA